UAAAGAUCAGUAAAAAUCGAUCUUAUGACUUCUAAAAAUUUAUAAGAAAAUUUCAACAAAUACGAAAUAAGUUAUCAUUGGAUACCUUCGUUCCGCCACCGAAACACGGCACAUUUUAUUUACAAGAAUAUGUAGAGGAGUUGUACUUGUCAAUUUAACACCUCGUUUGUGUUGGAUGCCACUCCAUCCCCAACCAGAUUUUUUUUUGUACUAUUGGACUGAUACAACAAGAGACAACUCAUUCCUUAUGGAUAAGUUUUGUGGUUAGGGCUUUUAUUCGCGCAUUAGGUUUAAUAAUAGGAUAUAAAAAUACAAAUAAAAAGACUUUGAUUUAUAGAUGUACUAGUGAAUUACCCGCGCGAUGCUGCG
Molecule: long non-coding RNA, 369 nt
Filed under: Ananas comosus (pineapple)
Lineage: Eukaryota; Viridiplantae; Streptophyta; Magnoliopsida; Poales; Bromeliaceae
Description: long non-coding RNA (ACOM_LNC041160)
Source: RNAcentral